CUAUGAUGGGGAUAACAGUUGGAAACGACUGCUAAUACCGAAUACGCUCAUGAUGAACUUUGUGAGGAAAGGUGGCCUCUGCUUGCAAGCUAUCGCAUAGAGAUGAGUCCGCGUCCCAUUAGCUAGUUGGUGGGGUAACGGCCUACCAAGGCAACGAUGGGUAGCCGAUCUGAGAGGAUGAUCGGCCACACUGGAACUGAAACACGGUCCAG
RNAcentral lists this ribosomal RNA (212 nucleotides) under uncultured bacterium. RNAcentral describes it as "partial 16S ribosomal RNA". It matches the Rfam family "Bacterial small subunit ribosomal RNA", at positions 132 to 334 of the family's 1533-position model. The record is from RNAcentral.